GAUUAUGGCUCAGGAUGAACGCUGGCGGCGUGCUUAACACAUGCAAGUCGAACGAGGAAUCUUUCAACGUUUCGGACAGAGGAAAUUUCCGAGUGGCGGACGGGUGAGUAACGCGUGGGUAACCUGCCGUAUGCAGGGGGACAACAGCCGGAAACAGCUGCUAAUACCGCAUAAGCCGGAGGGGCCGCAUGGUCCAGCCGGAAAAGAUUUUAUCGGCAUACGAUGGACCCGCGUCUGAUUAGCCAGUUGGCGGGGUAACGGCCCACCGAAGCGACGAUCAGUAGCCGAACUGAGAGGUUGACCGGCCACAUUGGGACUGAGACACGGCCCAGACUCCUACGGGAGGCAGCAGGUGGGGAAUAUUGCACAAUGGGGGGAACCCUGAUGCAAGCAACGCCGCGUGAGUGAAGAAGUAUUUCGGUAUGUAAAGCUCUAUCAGCAGGGAAGAGAGUGACGGUACCUGCAUAAGAAGCCCCGGCUAACUACGUGCCAGCCGCCGC
Molecule: ribosomal RNA, 500 nt
Filed under: uncultured bacterium
Lineage: Bacteria
Description: bacterial SSU rRNA
Rfam family: Bacterial small subunit ribosomal RNA
Source: RNAcentral